RNAcentral lists this ribosomal RNA (253 nucleotides) under uncultured bacterium. RNAcentral describes it as "partial 16S ribosomal RNA". It matches the Rfam family "Bacterial small subunit ribosomal RNA", at positions 524 to 776 of the family's 1533-position model. The record is from RNAcentral.
UACGUAGGUGGCAAGCGUUGUCCGGAUUUACUGGGCGUAAAGCGUGCGCAGGCGGUCCGCAAAGUCUGAUGUGAAAGCCCCGGGCUCAACCUGGGAACUGCAUUGGAAACUAACGGGCUCGAGUGUGGCAGAGGGGGGUGGAAUUCCACGUGUAGCAGUGAAAUGCGUAGAGAUGUGGAGGAACACCGAUGGCGAAGGCAGCCCCCUGGGCUAACACUGACGCUCAGGCACGAAAGCGUGGGGAGCAAACAGG